RNAcentral lists this ribosomal RNA (324 nucleotides) under uncultured bacterium. Its description in RNAcentral is "bacterial SSU rRNA". It matches the Rfam family "Bacterial small subunit ribosomal RNA", at positions 28 to 342 of the family's 1533-position model. The record is from RNAcentral.
GAUGAACGCUAGCGGCAGGCUUAAUACAUGCAAGUCGAGGGGCGAGCAGGGUGGUAGCGAUACAUCGCUGGCGACCGGCAAACGGGUAGCGGAACACGUACGCAACCUUCCUUCAAGUGAGGAAUAGCCCACGGGAAACGUUGGAUUAAUACCUCGUAACAUUGUGAAGUGGCAUCACUUUAUAAUUAUAGCUCAGGCGCUUGAAGAUGGGCGUGCGACUGAUUAGGUAGUUGGCGGAGUAACAGCCCACCAAGCCUGCGAUCAGUAACUGGUGUGAGAGCACGACCAGUCACACGGGCACUGAGACACGGGCCCGACUCCUAC